GUUUUUAGUAUAAUGAGUAUACCUGAUUGCAGAUCUGGAGGAUAUAAAGCCUUACG
Molecule: transfer RNA, 56 nt
Filed under: Ascaridia columbae
Lineage: Eukaryota; Metazoa; Nematoda; Chromadorea; Rhabditida; Ascaridiidae
Description: tRNA-Cys
Source: RNAcentral